UGGGGGGGGGGGGGGGGCUGCAGCCCCCCCCCCUCCCCCCCUCCCCAAUAA
This 51-nucleotide microRNA precursor is filed under the name Paramuricea clavata. The record is from RNAcentral. Lineage: Eukaryota; Metazoa; Cnidaria; Anthozoa; Malacalcyonacea; Plexauridae.